This 333-nucleotide ribosomal RNA is filed under the name Triticum aestivum (bread wheat). Its description in RNAcentral is "partial small subunit ribosomal RNA". The record is from RNAcentral. Lineage: Eukaryota; Viridiplantae; Streptophyta; Magnoliopsida; Poales; Poaceae.
AUGACCUACAGUAGGAGAAUUACAAUGGAAUUCGUGCGGGCUUGCUUACCAAACAAGACAGUAAGAGAAUUAGAAACAUUCAUUCUAAAUGGUUCAGCCACUCAGGCUUGCCUGGAUCUUUGUUUUGAUUGCCUAUCUAUUUGUUGCAUUGGAGGAGGUAAGCCAGAGGCGAGAAAUAGAGCAUGCCAUGUGUGGUUUUUCAUUUCAGGCCUAAGAAAAUCCCUCAUGCUCAAAGUAAUGGGGGUUUGUGGCGAGAGGGGCGUUAUUUUACAUCAGUCAAUCCAUUAUGCAUCUUCAGCAUGUCAAUCACCUCCGCAUCCAUGUCCCCUUUGA